RNAcentral lists this ribosomal RNA (589 nucleotides) under Apterodela unipunctata. RNAcentral's name for it is "Cylindera unipunctata partial large subunit ribosomal RNA". It matches the Rfam family "Bacterial large subunit ribosomal RNA", at positions 1847 to 2713 of the family's 2925-position model. Lineage: Eukaryota; Metazoa; Arthropoda; Insecta; Coleoptera; Carabidae. The record is from RNAcentral.
AAGGNCUAACCUGCCCAAUGAGGAUUUUAAUGGCCGCAGUAUUUUGACUGUGCAAAGGUAGCAUAAUUAAUAGUUUUUUAAUUAAAAGCUUGUAUGAAGGGUUGGACGAGAUAAAAUCUGUCUCUAUUUAAAUUAAAGUAGAAUUUAACUUUUAAGUUAAAAGGCUUAAAUUCUUAUAAAAGACGAGAAGACCCUAUAGAUCUUUAUUUAAUUAAAAUUUUAAUAAUUUAAGAUUAUUUUAAUUUAAAAUUUUGAUUAAAUUUUAUUGGGGUAAUAUAAAGAUUAAAAUAAUUCUUUUUGUUAAUUACAUUAAUUUAUGAAUAUAAGAUCCAGUAUUAUUGAUCAUAAGAUUAAGUUACCUUAGGGAUAACAGCGUAAUUUUUUUGGAGAGCUCAUAUCGAUAAAAAAGUUUGCGACCUCGAUGUUGGAUUAAAAAUUAGCUUGGGUGCAGAAGCUCAAGAUUUUGGUCUGUUCGACCAUUAAAUUUUUACAUGAUCUGAGUUCAGACCGGUGUAAGCCAGGUCGGUUUCUAUCUUUAUUUGAUUAAAAUAUUUUAGUACGAAAGGACCAAGUAUUUAAUAUAGUUAUA